CGGACGGGUGAGUAACGCGUAGGAACCUGACGCGCAUGGGGGAUAACGCUGGGAAACCGGCGCUAAUACCGCAUGUGGUCGCAAGAAGAAAGCAGCAAUGCGCUGUGUGAGGGGCCUGCGUCCGAUUAGCUAGUUGGUGGGGUAAAGGCGUACCAAGGCACCGAUCGGUAGCUGGUCUGAGAGGAUGAUCAGCCACACUGGGACUGAGACACGGCCCAG
RNAcentral lists this ribosomal RNA (219 nucleotides) under uncultured bacterium. RNAcentral describes it as "partial 16S ribosomal RNA". It matches the Rfam family "Bacterial small subunit ribosomal RNA", at positions 99 to 334 of the family's 1533-position model. The record is from RNAcentral.